Molecule: long non-coding RNA, 2685 nt
Organism: Mus musculus (house mouse)
Lineage: Eukaryota; Metazoa; Chordata; Mammalia; Rodentia; Muridae
Product: predicted gene 9902
Exons: 2
Source: RefSeq, a predicted model, not a curated record
GUGGUGGAGCUUAGACAAAAUGCUAACAUUCAUUCCCCUCAGGGAGCCUAAAACCCCUGGACUUGGGGGUGGGGGUGGGGCAGUUUCUUUCUAAUUGUCAAGUGAUUCAUCCCUCCCAACCUGGUGGCAAAGCCCAUCCCCUGUCAGCACAAUUCACCCCGUGGAUGACGCUCCUCCCUGCUUCCCAGGCUUCCUGGCACAUCCUGGUUAGAAGGAGUUUAGGCGCAUGCAGACAGACAUUGUGUUUUGAGGACGUCUUAGUAGCUCCGAGAAAAGUCAGCGUUAGUCAAGGAUGCUCGGAAACUCCAGGAGCAGAGAGCAGCAGGCUAUGCAGAAUAACCGCUGGCUGAUGGGACACACCGGGGAGGACUGCCUGGUACUGAGUGCAGCAAAGGUAGGCAAGGGCCUUGUGUUCCAAAGAGCAGCUUCCUCCAGGCUGAGGAGCCUUGCACACAGCCUCGGCAGGCCAGGCAGUUUCUUGCUUGUUGUCGCCUUAGCUCCUGCUGGCUGCUGCUGCGGACUUCCCCAGGCAAGCGUCCACAAUAAACGCUGCCUGCCUGGAGCUGGAGAUCUCACAUGUUAGCUCAGGAGUGCUGAGUUUCAUUCUAGGACAGUCUUAGGGGAAUCUAAGAGGUCCCUCUUCGAGAAUGUUUGGACAACACAGCAGGGGGGGCAGAGGAAACCCAACUCUUAUGUCCUCUAAACAGGGGUCUGGAAGUCAAUUCUGGGGGAGCCACCGGGGUGUUAGGUUCAAGGUUCCCAGACAGAAUCCAGCUGGUAGGAUUCAAAUAGGCACACAUGGGAUAGGUGCCCUGCCCUAUGGGGUUUCCCCGUGCAGCAGACCAUGGCCGCUGAGUCUUAAGUCCGACUCCAGCUUGGGUUAUAGGGGAACGAACAUUCAAGGAACCUGUCCCUGCCUCGCCCACUUCCAGGAACUGUUUAUGUUUCAGACAAUUCCUGACCCUGCCCAGGACUCCUGUCAUAGAGUGGCAGAAGGACACAAAGAUUUGGUUAAAGGGACAGCCAGGAAAGUCUGUCAUUCUGUUGCAAUUGUACAGGGAAUGCUAUCUGGGUCAGGCAGGCUGGUGUUCUUUGCAUACUGAGCUGAAUAGGGCAAUAGCUCUGUGGGUUUUUCUGUGCCCUGACCCCAAAGCUGAUUUGGACACCUUCCCUCUUCCCUGUCUCAGUCUCCUGCAUGGGUGCCAACUUCAUCUUAGCUCUCUGACCCUAUAGAAAAAGCUUUAUGAGUUUCAGGGGCGGUGCGCAUGCUGACACACAUGGAUAAUCCUCCAACUGGGGCAGCCGAGGCAGGGAGCCGGUGAAUGGGGAGGCCAGCCUGGGUUACACAGUGAGAUCCUUCCUGAAAUGGAAAAUAAGGGACACACACUGCCAAGCCUCACCCAGCAGUCAGUCAGUGAUGGCUCACAACUCCACGGGGCUUGCUACUACUCUAUUCAUAUGGCGCGGUGAGCCACAGGCUCAACUGCAAGCAGCAGAUGCGGGGUCCCGAGCAUUCUCCCAGCUGCAUGCACUCAAUAGAAACUUCCUAAAGCUCCGAAAAACCGAAACCAAAAUGGAGUGAGACCCAAACAACAACAACAACGACGAUAGUUCUACCUUUCUUUGGGUCCCAUCAUCAGUCAUCAUCAUCGUCAUCAUCACCAUCAGCCACCACAUUAGGGAAAAUAAGCCCCGUUCCUUAGACUCAACGAGACAAGCCUCCCAGGAGCCCUGAAGUCAACAGAAGGUGCAGAUAUUUUCCCUCUCAGCGCCACCCUCCCCCUAUCAGAGAGUGGACUGACUCUCCGCCCUUGCCCUGGGAACCAAGAGGGACCAGACUCACCUCCUGUCCCACUUCUUGUCUCUCCCAGGCCCUGCAGCUGCCCUCCAAACCAGUCUACCUUCUAAACAGCCUGUGGGGAUGUGCUAAGACUGGAAGGGGUCACUGGCGGGCUCAUUGUUUAUGGGCUCCAUAAAACUGACAUUCAGAGGGAGGGGGGAGGGGGGACACACUUCCUUUAUGACCCAGGAGGACAAUAAAGUUAUAUGAUUAACAGUGACUUUGCCUGGCCUUCUUAAAGCAACAGGUCCUCGGAGUUCGCCCUGCUGGGAAGUCAGUGUCUCAGCAGCCGGAGGACUGGCAGAGGGCAUUUCAGUGACCAGCCCAGCCAAGGUGCCAAGGACUCUGAUGUCCUCAAGCCAAUGUUGUGGUGAUUCGGAGCCAUCAGGCAUGGGGGUGUGUAUACAGCACAGCACUGUUCUUGGGGUGGGGGUGGGAGUCUGUCCCCAUCUGUGUGGUCUGCACAACUGUGAUCUCAGGCACACAGCAUACUUUCUUUCCCUGUGCCCACCCCACCUUCUCAGGAUCCUGGGCAGAGGUAUACAGAGUGGCAGAGUUCAUAACUGCCGGUGCCGGAAGCCACCAAGCUGCCUGCAGCAGGGAAUGGAGGAACAGAGAUUGGUAUCUAUGGACAAGAGAUGGGAAAGGCAGAGAAAGGGCCCCACUGCACAGGAGCAAGCGAAAGAAGCUGGUCAGAAAGGUUCGAACUACAGGAAAAGGAAAACCAUGGAGACAGGGAAGAUGGGUGGUGGGAGGCAGCAAGGAACAGUUGAAACACACACACAUACAAACACACCACACACACAUACACACUACACACGUACACACUACACACAUACCACACA